This 749-nucleotide ribosomal RNA is filed under the name uncultured archaeon. RNAcentral's name for it is "bacterial SSU rRNA". It matches the Rfam family "Archaeal small subunit ribosomal RNA", at positions 170 to 922 of the family's 1478-position model. The record is from RNAcentral.
CUGGAAUGGGCAAUGACUUAAAUCUAUAUGGCCCCUGGAUUGGACUGCGGCCGAUCAGGCUGUUGGUGAGGUAAUGGCCCACCAAACCUGUAACCGGUACGGGCUCUGAGAGGAGGAGCCCGGAGAUGGGCACUGAGACAAGGGCCCAGGCCCUAUGGGGCGCAGCAGGCGCGAAACCUCUGCAAUAGGCGAAAGCCUGACAGGGUUACUCUGAGUGAUUUCCGUUAAGGAGAUCUUUUGGCACCUCUAAAAAUGGUGCAGAAUAAGGGGUGGGCAAGUCUGGUGUCAGCCGCCGCGGUAAUACCAGCACCCCGAGUGGUCGGGACGUUUAUUGGGCCUAAAGCAUCCGUAGCCGGUUCUGCAAGUCUUCCGUUAAAUCCACCUGCUUAACAGAUGGGCUGCGGAAGAUACUAUAGAGCUAGGAGGCGGGAGAGGCAAGCGGUACUCGAUGGGUAGGGGUAAAAUCCGUUGAUCCAUUGAAGACCACCAGUGGCGAAGGCGGCUUGCCAGAACGCGCUCGACGGUGAGGGAUGAAAGCUGGGGGAGCAAACCGGAUUAGAUACCCGGGUAGUCCCAGCUGUAAACGAUGCAGACUCGGUGAUGAAUUGGCUUUAUGCCAAUUCAGUGCCGCAGGGAAGCCGUUAAGUUUGCCGCCUGGGGAGUACGGUCGCAAGACUGAAACUUAAAGGAAUUGGCGGGGGAGCACCACAAGGGGUGAAGCCUGCGGUUCAAUUGGACUCAACGCCGGU